RNAcentral lists this ribosomal RNA (90 nucleotides) under Serratia marcescens. Its description in RNAcentral is "partial 23S ribosomal RNA". It matches the Rfam family "Bacterial large subunit ribosomal RNA", at positions 1 to 90 of the family's 2925-position model. Lineage: Bacteria; Pseudomonadati; Pseudomonadota; Gammaproteobacteria; Enterobacterales; Yersiniaceae. The record is from RNAcentral. RNAcentral also lists the same sequence under 11 other names.
GGUUAAGUGACUAAGCGUACACGGUGGAUGCCUAGGCAGUCAGAGGCGAUGAAGGGCGUGCUAAUCUGCGAAAAGCGUCGGUAAGGUGAU